This is a long non-coding RNA of Canis lupus familiaris (dog), 787 nucleotides long. RefSeq lists it as uncharacterized. NCBI's taxonomy places the organism in Eukaryota, Metazoa, Chordata, Mammalia, Carnivora, Canidae. The record is from RefSeq and is a predicted model, not a curated record. The transcript has 3 exons.
UCAUGUGUUUCUACUGAGGCAGAAGUGGGCAUAUGAGAAUUGCUAGGGUGUGUAAUAACUUAGUACAGAUCAUCGGUCCUCAGGGCCACAGGGAAUUGGAUAUUAGAAUCUUAUUUUAAAGGAAAACACUUUUUCUUCUUCAAGCUCCUUCCUUCUUGUCAAGGUUAAAUAACUUUCUCUUCUGGCAUCUUUGUAGAGCCUUGUGAAAGAAAGCUAAGAACUGGAUAUGUGCCAGCAGCUUGCCAGAGUUGGAAGAAUAAGUUGGGAGACAGAUAGAUUUCUCCAAAGUUGCUACAAACUCACCUUUUUGGAGCCUCAACCAUCUCAUCAUCAUAAUGUGAACAAUGAUAUAUAGCUUGCAGAGCCAUUAUAAGAAUCACAAGAUCAUCACAGACAAUUCCAGAGAAGUGGUUUUACACGAGCCAGAUGAUGUUGUGCACUGCCCACAUCUCCUAGGAUUUCUUUUACUGGUUUGAUGAGCCCACAUCUUCAACCUUUUCCAGCAAGUUCUUGGGAGACUGGAUCUGCCUUCCCACCCCAAGGAGGUAGGCCUACUGAGCCAUCUACUAUUUGUAAUUUGCUACCUAUGCAUCUGGAACUGUGCUGUGAGUCAGAAGAAUCCAGAGAAACAGAAGAAAUAAUUAACUUAUGCAACAAGAUUUGAAAAAAACCUUUCCCUGUUGUCUUAGAAUUUCACCUAAAUCAUCAAAUCUGAGGACAAUGAAUGACAGAUGCCUUCAACUUCUGAAGAGAAGCCCUAGACACACUAGAAAGAGAGACCAGGGGA